RNAcentral lists this ribosomal RNA (476 nucleotides) under uncultured organism. RNAcentral describes it as "partial 16S ribosomal RNA". It matches the Rfam family "Bacterial small subunit ribosomal RNA", at positions 330 to 797 of the family's 1533-position model. The record is from RNAcentral.
CGUACACUCCUACGGGAGGCAGCAGUGGGGAAUAUUGCACAAUGGGCGCAAGCCUGAUGCAGCCAUGCCGCGUGUAUGAAGAAGGCCUUCGGGUUGUAAAGUACUUUCAGCGGGGAGGAAGGCGAUAAGGUUAAUAACCUUGUUGAUUGACGUUACCCGCAGAAGAAGCACCGGCUAACUCCGUGCCAGCAGCCGCGGUAAUACGGAGGGUGCAAGCGUUAAUCGGAAUUACUGGGCGUAAAGCGCACGCAGGCGGUCUGUCAAGUCGGAUGUGAAAUCCCCGGGCUCAACCUGGGAACUGCAUUCGAAACUGGCAGGCUAGAGUCUUGUAGAGGGGGGUAGAAUUCCAGGUGUAGCGGUGAAAUGCGUAGAGAUCUGGAGGAAUACCGGUGGCGAAGGCGGCCCCCUGGACAAAGACUGACGCUCAGGUGCGAAAGCGUGGGGAGCAAACAGGAUUAGAAACCCCGGUAGUCCCA